UCCUUCACAAGUUAUUUUCCCAAAAAAAUCUGUUGCACCGCUAAACUGUGGCCAAAUCUGGGGGCCCAAAAUCAAAGUCGAUAACUAAAUUUCGAGGCAUCUUUAACAGUGUAAGUAGUGUUAUUAGAAGAAGCAUUAUACAGAUUUACCUCCAACAACUUUUUCCUACAACAAAAUCACGGGUCCAUGGAGAAUGCUGCCACUACAACAAAAACGGUCUAUAGCGACACUUUUAAAUGUAGGUACAUGUCAAAAAAGUGCUGCUAGCUAAAAUUACCGACACUUUUAAAAAGCGUUGCUAUAUGUGGGGUCGCUAGGCAUAUAGUGACAGUUAAAGAGUGUCGUUAUAACCUAAAAGAGUGCUGCUAAUUUUUCAACACUUGUUUAAGCAUUUAGCAACCACCGAAACUCUAUCUCGUUGGCUGCGGUGGCGGAUGAGGAUGACAGUAAAGGCUCUUCGUCUAGAAUUUCAGUGGAUUGAGUGAAGAGAGAAGAAAAGAUGGUAAUUGAUUUUUCUUUUUUUUUUUUCUUUUCUGUUUGUAAUCGGGCCAUAUGGACUGGGUGUGGUGGGUUGAGUAGAGUAAUCUUUUAUUUUUGGUUCGAUUGGGCUUUAUAUUUAGGCAUUAGUAGAUGUGUUUUUAAGUUUUAGCAUAAAUGGGACACUUACUUAAAAGUGUCCCAAACAUGUGUCUCUAUAACUUAAUUCUGUUGUAGUGUGCUGUUGAAAUUAGAAGUAGAAGCUGAAGUUG
This 749-nucleotide long non-coding RNA is filed under the name Ananas comosus (pineapple). RNAcentral's name for it is "long non-coding RNA (ACOM_LNC017127)". The record is from RNAcentral. Lineage: Eukaryota; Viridiplantae; Streptophyta; Magnoliopsida; Poales; Bromeliaceae.